Molecule: non-coding RNA, 2019 nt
Organism: Leptonychotes weddellii (Weddell seal)
Lineage: Eukaryota; Metazoa; Chordata; Mammalia; Carnivora; Phocidae
Source: RefSeq, a predicted model, not a curated record
ACGUUAAAUUCUGCAGACCGGAAUGCAUACCAGCUAUAUUGUUAAGGAGAGACAAAACAAAUAAGCGAGGAAUUGUGAAACUGGGGGAAGCUUUCUGAGUCAAAAUCAUUUAUCCAAGAGUAGUACCUAUCUGCUACUAAAAUAAGGAAUUUCAUUUUUUUCAAAAGACUCCUUACUCUGUAUGCGUAUUUCUUCUGGCAAUUGCUGAUGAGUCAAUCAACCCUUUGCAUUAGGUUUUCUAUGUGGUAACACAGGACAAGUCUGAGGUCUAUUUUAGAAUGUUGAAAAGUAAUGGAGACAUGUAAUGCUUUUGUUCUGAAUAUGACUAAUUGUGGUUAUUUUAAAUUCAGGACCUGGCCCUUCAUUAUCAAAAGCCCCAAGCAGUAUAAAAACCUUUCUUUCAUGGACGCAAUGAAUAAGUUUAAAUGGGCUAAGAAGGAAGGUCUUUCCUUCAACAAGCUUGUCCUUAGCUUGCCUGUGAACGUGAGAUGCUCCAAGACAGACAAUGCAGAGUGGUCGAUUCAAGGGAUGACAGCAUUACCUCCCCAUGUGGAAAGACCGUAUAAAGCAGAGCCUUUGGUGUGUGGAACCUCUUCUUCCUCUUCUGUGCACAGAAAUCGCUCUCUUGAGCUGCUCGUGGGCUUCAUGGUACUCGGCAGCAUGCUGCACAGCACACGCUUGUGGUCAUCAUUCUGUGCCUGGGGACGGUGUUUCCUGUGAUCCAAACGUGUCGGGUUAAAGACACUGUGGUCAUGAAGAGUGAGCACGAGGCCUGUGGAGAACUUCCGGUCACACACGCCCUGCCUCCCUACGUCCAUCCUUCCCUGUCUACCUGAGAGAUGUCCAUUGGGUUUUCUUCUUUUGCUCAGAUAUGUCAGAUAACAUGUAUCCAUUGCCAAUAAAGCAAAACUGGACUGACUUACAACCUUUUAACAAUUUGGACAAAGUCAAGUGGAAGUGAAAGAGGUCUUUAUUUCCUUCCAUGGUUCAUUUUAUUUAAAGACUCAUUACCGUUAUUUCACUUUUUAAUUGGUGAUUUGGCUUCCAGAUUCCUUUCUUAAAAUGCUUUCACCUUAAAAAUGUAAAAGAAAGUACGCUCUGUUCCAUGUUUCUUCCUCUUUAAAAUUGUUUUUUUUUUUUUAAUUUUUUUAAUCUUCCUCUUUAUUGUUCUUUGGGUGUGACUUCCGCAGUGUGACAAUGGUCCUCUCUGUCCUUCAGUGUUAACCCAGCUCUGCCCUUUUCUGUGAAAAACUGAUGGGCCCCUUACCUCAGUGCUUUUCAGUGAUGCCCAUUUAGCUUCUUUGUUUAUCUGAGUCUACUGGUAUUCCCAAACUACCCCAAACCCAUCUCAAAGUAUUUUCUUUUUCCUUCCCUGCUCAGUGCUGACCAGGUGAGUUUUUUUCUUGAGUUCUGUCACUCUCUAAAAAGAAAGAAGCUAAGGGAAACACAGAAAUGGUACAUAAUGGAUUGGAGGCUGAGGAGGAAAUGUAGCUGGCUGCAAACCCUGUGCUGUGAGGGGUCCUUCAUGAGGUUCCAGGUCAAAGGCCAGGUAGUACAAGCCAGCCUAGGAGGGUGGGAGGUCCCUGCAGCUCCUCACUGACCAUGUUGAGUGUCAUGUGUGUUGUAUCCUGACUCAAUUUAAGUCCCAGUUGCUAAGGUAGAUUUAUUUUUGUGUUAGUUAGUAAACUAACUUUCCUUAGAAAAACCGUCACCAAUGGAAAAUCUUGUCACUUUUUGGGUUCCCUUUGUGUAGUUCAGCCAAAUCUUGUUGCGUGUCCUUCCCUCAUUUCUUAAGCUAAGUCUGUUUGGCUCAUAUUAAUAAACUAAAUAAAAUUAAAUGUUUGUGUGGAAUCUUGUACACUCUUUGAAAGAAGCAAGAGAUCCGGGACUGAUGUGUCCAGUCAAAAGGAUUAAGAAUGUUGCAUUUUUGUAUUCCGUUUGUAAGCCCUCUCUCCUGCAAACAAUGUCUUCAACACAAACUAUAUCGUCUUUUAAAUAAACAGUGUAUUUUGGAGUGUU